GUUCAAUGUUCCUCUCACAGCUGGUGAAUUUGCAGUUUUGAAGACAGCUUGCAGUUUUGCAUUGCCCCAUAUCAUGGGUUGGGAUCGGUUGACUGCCAAGCUGCCCACAGAGAAGGUGGGAAGUCCACCGAAAGCGAAUCAGCAAGAGCCUGGUUUAGAGUGGGAUAGGUGAAGCUAUCCGCCUCAUGCUUUGUAGAUUUAGAGCAUUGACUUUUUGGUUUUGCCGA
This 227-nucleotide unclassified non-coding RNA is filed under the name Hevea brasiliensis (rubber tree). The record is from RNAcentral. Lineage: Eukaryota; Viridiplantae; Streptophyta; Magnoliopsida; Malpighiales; Euphorbiaceae.